UGGGGAAUUUUGGACAAUGGGCGAAAGCCUGAUCCAGCAAUGCCGCGUGUGUGAAGAAGGCCUUCGGGUUGUAAAGCACUUUUGUCCGGAAAGAAAUCCUUGGCUCUAAUACAGUCGGGGGAUGACGGUACCGGAAGAAUAAGCACCGGCUAACUACGUGCCAGCAGCCGCGGUAAUACGUAGGGUGCAAGCGUUAAUCGGAAUUACUGGGCGUAAAGCGUGCGCAGGCGGUUUGCUAAGACCGAUGUGAAAUCCCCGGGCUCAACCUGGGAACUGCAUUGGUGACUGGCAGGCUAGAGUAUGGCAGAGGGGGGUAGAAUUCCACGUGUAGCAGUGAAAUGCGUAGAGAUGUGGAGGAAUACCGAUGGCGAAGGCAGCCCCCUGGGCCAAUACUGACGCUCAUGCACGAAAGCGUGGGGAGCAAAACAGGAUUAGAUACCCUGGUAGUCCACGCCCUAAACGAUGUCAACUAGUUGUUGGGGAUUCAUUUCCUUAGUAACGUAGCUAACGCGUGAAGUUGACCGCCUGGGGAGUACGGUCCGCAAGUGUAAAACUCAAAGGAAUUGACGGGGUCAUAGCUGUUUCCU
Molecule: ribosomal RNA, 587 nt
Filed under: uncultured bacterium
Lineage: Bacteria
Description: partial 16S ribosomal RNA
Rfam family: Bacterial small subunit ribosomal RNA
Source: RNAcentral